Molecule: ribosomal RNA, 316 nt
Filed under: Clostridioides difficile
Lineage: Bacteria; Bacillati; Bacillota; Clostridia; Peptostreptococcales; Peptostreptococcaceae
Description: bacterial SSU rRNA
Rfam family: Bacterial small subunit ribosomal RNA
Source: RNAcentral
UUAUUUGAGAGUUUGAUCCUGGCUCAGGAUGAACGCUGGCGGCGUGCCUAACACAUGCAAGUUGAGCGAUUUACUUCGGUAAAGAGCGGCGGACGGGUGAGUAACGCGUGGGUAACCUACCCUGUACACACGGAUAACAUACCGAAAGGUAUGCUAAUACGGGAUAAUAUAUUUGAGAGGCAUCUCUUGAAUAUCAAAGGUGAGCCAGUACAGGAUGGACCCGCGUCUGAUUAGCUAGUUGGUAAGGUAACGGCUUACCAAGGCGACGAUCAGUAGCCGACCUGAGAGGGUGAUCGGCCACAUUGGAACUGAGACA